GACGAACGCUGGCGGCGUGCUUAACACAUGCAAGUCGAACGGAAAGGCCCUGCUUUUGUAGGGUGCUCGAGUGGCGAACGGGUGAGUAACACGUGAGUAACCUGCCCUUGACUUUGGGAUAACUUCAGGAAACUGGGGCUAAUACCGGAUAGGAGCUCCUGCUGCAUGGUGGGGGUUGGAAAGUUUCGGCGGUUGGGGAUGGACUCGCGGCUUAUCAGCUUGUUGGUGGGGUAGUGGCUUACCAAGGCUUUGACGGGUAGCCGGCCUGAGAGGGUGACCGGCCACAUUGGGACUGAGAUACGGCCCAGACUCCUAAGGGAGGCAGCAGUGGGGAAUAUUGCACAAUGGGCGGAAGCCUGAUGCAGCAACGCCGCGUGCGGGAUGACGGCCUUCGGGUUGUAAACCGCUUUCGCCUGUGACGAAGCGUGAGUGACGGUAAUGGGUAAAGAAGCACCGGCUAACUACGUG
Molecule: ribosomal RNA, 468 nt
Filed under: uncultured bacterium
Lineage: Bacteria
Description: partial 16S ribosomal RNA
Rfam family: Bacterial small subunit ribosomal RNA
Source: RNAcentral